Molecule: unclassified non-coding RNA, 5844 nt
Filed under: Haliotis rufescens (red abalone)
Lineage: Eukaryota; Metazoa; Mollusca; Gastropoda; Lepetellida; Haliotidae
Description: lysine-specific demethylase 2A-like, transcript variant X15
Source: RNAcentral
UUUAACGCUUUUGAGGUUUGAGCAAGUUUACAGCUCUUUUGAAACAUGGAGGUUUAGCUGCGGUGUAUUGUAUGUGGAUUGUGUGUUCGUCCGUGGAGUCUCUCCUGGUAAUGUGUAGUUGUUUUGUGAAGUAUUUUGGUCUUAGCCUAGGCGUUACCUAGUGUCACCUAGACCUAGAGCUGCAGGAGCCGUGACGUCGCAGUCCUACUUCGUCAACACGAGGACAUGGCCACGACGGAAUGUGUGGAGGACGCGUGUGUUGAGGUUGUGCACGCGAACGCAGUGACAUCCCCGGGGGAGCGUGAUGUCCUCACUGAUGAUGUUGAGAGUAGGCAUGGGGGUGACGAGAGUCGUAGUUUUAUUCAAACAAGAGCGAAAGAGCGGAAGCACUACACAGAUGAAGACAUUGAUGAUGAUGAGAUUGAGGGGAAGCGCAACUACAAUAUCGAGGAUAAGCUUCUUCGCAGCACCUACAAGGGAAACUAUGUCCAGUACAUGAAGGGACCCGACUUCACCCUGAAGUUUGUCCAGGAGAAUGGCUUGAUGCAGCCAAUACUCUUCAAGGACAAGACCGGGCUGGGGAUGAGGGUCCCGAGUGAAAACUUCAAAGUCAGUGAUGUUAAACAGUGUGUCGGAAGUCGGCGUAUGCUCGACGUGAUGGAUGUCAACACCCAGAAAGGUCUUGAGAUGACGAUGAAAGACUGGGUGCGGUACUACGAGAACACCAGCCGAGACCGCCUCCUCAACGUCAUCAGUCUGGAGUUCAGCCAUACGCGGCUGGAGAACUAUGUCGAGUCCCCCACGCUGGUGAGGCAGGUGGACUGGGUGGACCGAGUGUGGCCGAGGCAUCUCAAGGACUGCCAGACAGAAUCUACCAACAUCAUAGAGAAGAUGAAGUACCCUAAAGUUCAGAAGUACUGCUUGAUGAGUGUGGCGGGGUGCUACACGGACUUCCACAUCGACUUCGGCGGCACCUCCGUGUGGUACCACAUCCUCCAUGGAGAGAAGAUAUUCUGGCUCAUCCCCCCGACAGAGGCAAACGUGGAGCUCUACGAAAACUGGGUGCUGUCCGCCAAACAAGGGGACAUAUUUCUCCCGGACCAGGUGUCGGAAUGUCAGAAGAUCCAUCUCCAGGCCGGCGAUACAUUCAUCAUUCCUUCAGGUUGGAUCCACGCUGUGUACACUCCACGGGACUCUCUGGUGUUUGGAGGUAACUUCCUCCACAGCUUCAACAUCCUACAGCAGCUGCGAGUGGCCGACGUCGAGGAUAAAACACACGUUCCACAGAAAUUCCGAUAUCCAUUUUACAACGAGAUCAUGUGGUACGUGUUGACUCGCUACGUGGAAUGUGUGGGCAAGAAAUCGUACCUGAAAAAACCCGAGAAGAUCGACCUCGAUGAGCAGCCAGAGUCUCCAGGAUCCUUCUUCACCAGCGAUGAUUCCCGGCCACCUUCCCGGAACCCCGACUCCCGGCCGCCAUCCCGGAACCCAGAAGAACAUUCACCGGUCGACUUUUCAAAGAUCAAGCUGGAGAAGGAUGAAGAACAGAAACUGUCCAAGAGCAUCACCAUCCCGCUUACUAGAAUUGAUGAUUCUGGGAUCAAGAAGUCACAAAGUGAUGACGAAUCGUUGAGGAAUUCAAGAUCAGUUCGGAAAUUGUCAACAGACUCGGUGCAUUCUGAAAAUGGUUUUGCUGAAAAUGGUGACAUGGACAAGAGAAGCAGUGAUGGUGGGAGGCGGUGGAUACAUUUGACCAAGUAUGAGUUGGACGGACUUGCCAAGCUGGUGGAGAAGGUGGAGAACUUACCGCUCAACAAACGGGGGGUUCCCAAAGAUCUCCUGGACCCCGACGCGGUGAUAAGGGAUGUCAGGCAACUUCUGGCAGAUCACAAGUACGACAACAUGAAGGCGGCGGCAAGUGGAGAGCCCACGUGCUGGGUGCCGGAAACCACCAAGAAAGUGAAGAAGCUGAAGACAACAACGACGUACGUAGGAGGGAAGACACCAAAAGGCAGCACAGCGAACAAAGUGGCGUCUGGAAACCGGCGGCGACGCACAAGGUGCAAGAAGUGCGAGGCGUGUACGAGGUCCGACUGCGGGGAAUGCAACUUCUGUAAAGACAUGCGCAAGUUCGGGGGCCCUGGCAGGAUGAAGCAGUCCUGUAUCAGCAGGAAGUGUAUGGCGCCUGUGUUGCCGCACACUGUCACCUGCUGCAUCUGUGAGAAGGACGGCAAGAUGGCGAGUGAGGACAACCCGGACGAGAUGGAGACAGUGGUCAUGGAGUGCAGCCUCUGUUGGGAGAUCGUCCAUCCCGCCUGUCUCAAGGAGAAGCACGACUCUCUAGACAGUGAUGGCAUCGUCAACGAGGACCUCCCCAACAGCUGGGAGUGCGCCAAGUGUUGUAACGAAGGAAAACAGGGGCAGCUCAAGCCUAAAACACCUAAACCAGUCGGCCGACCUAAAGGAAUUGACAGUAGACGGUCGUCCGCCAGCAGUGUGGGUGACCUUGACGUGAAGGAGGAGGAGGUCGAGUUGGAGGUGACCUUGGAGGCGACCUUGGACAACAACAACACAAAGAUGGCGCCAGUGAAGGCCGUCGAGGGAAAGAGGGUCACAUCCAAGGAAACACCAGCUCCCCCGAAACCCACGCCCUCCCCAACACCCCUCCCCACACCACCCAAGCUCAUUAAACGAGAGAAACUUGUCCAACAUCGAGUUAGCCAACAGAGGGCGCUGAAGAGAGACAGACUGAAGCAUGUGAGACGUCUGCAAUCGUCCGACACAGUCAAGAGAGUUCUGCCUCAAGUGCGAGCUACCAUCAUCCCAAAGUCUCCUCCUCAGUUCAUCAGUCGGAGCAGCAAACGGGCGUUAACAGACAGCAGCGACGAAGACGACGACGACGAUGAUGACGAUGCCCCUAGUAGAAAGCGUCCCCGCCGAGAGGGCCGCACGCGAGCUCGCAUCAUGGCCGCCUCCCGCACCAAACUACGGCCUCGCUUCUUCAAGACGGCUGGUCGUGGACAGGACAGAGGUGUGGGUCAGCUGCAGACAUCGCCUGCCAAGCGAGGCUGUCAUGGUGGAGGUCAAGGGUCAAGUGGCCAUCAGAACAAAUCACCAAAGGGAAAGGGUUCAAACAGGGACCGAUCGAAUGAAAGGUCCAAUCCCCCAUCCGACAGAGGUGAAGGUCAGAAUCCUGAUCAGCCGGCUGGGUUUUCAGGGUCAAGGUCAAGACGUGGGGAUGGAGCAGGUCCUGUGUGUGAUAAGGAAUUACGGGUAGUGAUUAACAGAUAUGUUGUACGUCCUGCGCCAAUCCCACCGCCAGCAGAUACAGUGGAGCUGGACACGGGAGACGUCCAUGUUCUCAAGCGCCAGAUGUGGAUGAGUGUGUUUAAGAAACUGGAUUUGGGCGACUUAGCCCGGUGUUUGUGUGUGUGUAAGACGUGGAAUCGGUGGUGCAUCAACCGAUGUCUGUGGAAGGAGAUCGAUCUGCGACAGACACGAAUCCGACAGAGCCACCUGGUGGGGAUUGUUCGUCGACAGCCGGAAUCUCUGAUCCUGGCACGGAGUGUCAUGACCCCUAAACAGUUAUCCUGGCUCGUAGUUCGUCUGCCUCAACUCCACCAUCUUGACUUGUCGUAUCUGUCAUGGGGAACUAUUGGCGGCCUCUGCUCCUCUUCCUGCCCCCUCCUACGCUCCCUCUCCCUCAACUGGGCCGUCGGACUCAGCGAGGACUCCUUCCGCGACCUUGUCCUUCCUCCAGCAGACAGGAAGCCUGCUCUCAAGGUCAUCAGCCGCCUCCACAAGGUUCACACGCUGUCAUUGGCUGGAACUGAGGUUACUGACCAAUCAAUUGAGAUCCUAUUGCAGCACAUGCACAACGUGGAGAGCCUGAACUUGAGCUACUGCGUCCAGCUGACCAAUGCCACCGUGGUGGCGCUGACCAAGAGGGACAGUCCCUUGAUGAACAAGCUGAAACAGCUUGACCUCUCAGGAUGUCUGCAGAUAACGGAUCACGUGUUUCACUUCCUGAAAGCAUGCUCCCAACUGGAGACCGUCAAGUUUCACGGCUGUCCGAAAGUCACACGGCAUGCAUGUCAAAAGUUUGUGGAUUCCUACAUCUGCCAUCAGCUCUCCGUACAGGUGGAUAAAAUGAUUAUCACCACGCCUGACACAAGUGAUGGUUAGACAGGCAAUGGUGUGGGAGGGUAAUGUAUAGCGUGAAGCCAGUGGUGUUGAGACCGGCAAUGGUGUAGGAGGGUAAUGUAUAGCGUGAAGCCAGUGAUGGCUAGAGCAGAGGGUAGGGUACAGUCUGAAAUCAAGUUUUAAAUGUUGAUAUUAUUUGUCUUAAUGGUGAUAUAUUCUGUGUAUCACACAAUGAUGGGAGUGACCAUUUGACAAAAUUAAAAAAAAUAAAAUGGAAAAAAUAAAUUGCCCCAAUUUCUUUAAUUUGCUCGAUGAAAAUUAACUUCUUGUGUCACAGAUGCCAAAUAUAGAUCCUGUUGUGCUAAACAGAUUUAAACUAUAAUAGUGGUGGGAGGAAAGUGAGGGUUUGGACUCAGGUCAUGUUGAUAUAAUAAUUUUGAUUUCGGAGUGGAUUAUCCUUGUAAGGGGAGACAGACUGAGUGAGAUAUUUAGAUCUGAUGCGGGUGACAGGUUACUUUAGUUUUCUUUUGGUAAGAAUCCUUGUGAACAGAGGACGCAGAUUCAUUCCAGCAGUGCACGAGAUGGACACAUCCGUAUACAGUUUCCUUGUGAGGUGAGGCCACUGGGUGGAAAGGAGUCUGUGUCAGGUGUAGAUAGGUGACACUCUGUGGGACAGCCGUGUUGGGGAGGCCGUGCAAGGUGGAUAUGUGACACUCUGUGGGACAGCCGUGUUGGGGAGGCCGUGCAAGGUGGAUAUGUGACAAUCUGUGGGACAGCCGUGUUGGGGAGGCUGUGUCAGGUGCAGAUAGGUGACGCUCUGUGGGACAGCCGUGUUGGGGAGGCCGUGUGAGGUGGGACAGCCGUGUUGGGGAGGCCGUGUGAGGUGCAGAUAAGUGACGCUCUGUGGGACAGCCUUGUGAGGUGCAGAUAUGUGACACUCUGUGGGACAGCCUUGUGAGGUGCAGAUAUGUGACACUCUGUGGGACAGCCUUGUGAGGUGCAGAUAUGUGACACUCUGUGGGACAGCCGUGUUGGGGAGGCUGUGUGAGGUGCAGAUAUGUGACACUCUGUGGGACAGCCAUGUUGGGGAGGCCGUGUGAGGUGCAGAUAAGUGACGCUCUGUGGGACAGCCUUGUGAGGUGCAGAUAUGUGACACUGUGUGGGACAGCUGUGUUGGGGAGGCAGUGUGAGAUGUAGAUGCGUGACACUCCCAGCUUAGACAUAGCAUGUCGCUGUUAAGGAGGCCGCGUGAGGUGUGGGGCCAUGUUGGGAAGCCAAGUUAGGUGAGGGGAGUGUCCAUUUUGCAGAAGGCCUUGUCAGUGGAUGGAUGUUUUGAUACAGAAUGACGAUGUGGGUGGAUGAAUGCUAUAUUGUUGUUGGAUGUUGGCAUGAAACGUUCAGAACUGAAGUUGACCAUCCUCAAAUAGUGUUGUCCGUUUUAUUAUGAUAAAUACCCAUUUGUAACAGUGCUUCUUGUUGAUUUCAGUUGACAUGUUAAAAAUAGCCAUCCAUUCAAAUUACAAUCAUGCAAGAGAAAUUUGGCAUUGAGAUGGGGAUAUCCAUUCACAUGUGAAUCUCUCCUAGGGUGGGUCCAGGGUUUGUAUCAUGAUAGAAGGAUGUGAUACACUGGGUGAUGGAGGUGCGGUGAACAUGUGGUGAUUGUGUGCUGCGAGUAGAACUGAUCAUUCAGACUGUGGACUG